Molecule: ribosomal RNA, 815 nt
Filed under: uncultured bacterium
Lineage: Bacteria
Description: bacterial SSU rRNA
Rfam family: Bacterial small subunit ribosomal RNA
Source: RNAcentral
AGAGUUUGAUCAUGGCUCAGAACGAACGCUGGCGGCGUGGAUAAGACAUGCAAGUCGAACGCUGAUUGUCGGGUAGCAAUAUUCGGCAGUCGGAGUGGCGCAAGGGUGCGUAACACGUGGGUAAUCUGCCAUGAAGUUUGGGAUAACUCGCUGAAAGGCGAGCUAAUACCGGAUGUGAAAAUUGGAAGGCAUCUUUUGAUUUUCAAAGCUGGGGACCGUAAGGCCUGGCGCUUCUUGAUGAACCCGCGGCCUAUCAGCUAGUUGGUGAGGUAACGGCCCACCAAGGCUAAGACGGGUAGCUGGUCUGAGAGGACGACCAGCCACACUGGAACUGAGACACGGUCCAGACACCUACGGGUGGCAGCAGUCGAGAAUUUUUCACAAUGGGCGCAAGCCUGAUGGAGCGACGCCGCGUGGGGGAUGAAUGGCUUCGGCCCGUAAACCCCUGUCAUUUGCGAACAAACGUUAUUAUUUAAAAGAUGAUGACCUGAUUGUAGCGAAAGAGGAAGGGACGGCUAACUCUGUGCCAGCAGCCGCGGUAAUACAGAGGUCCCAAGCGUUGUUCGGAUUCACUGGGCGUAAAGGGUGCGUAGGUGGCGGGGUAAGUCGGAUGUGAAAUCUCCGAGCUCAACUCGGAAAUGGCAUUGGAAACUACCUUGCUCGAGGGUUGGAGGGGGGACUGGAAUACUUGGUGUAGCAGUGAAAUGCGUAGAUAUCAAGUGGAACACCAGUGGCGAAGGCGAGUCCCUGGACAACUCCUGACACUGAGGCACGAAAGCUAGGGGAGCAAACAGGAUUAGAUACCCUAGUAGUCC